AGCACAACGAAAGCAUCCGGAUUCCAUCCGGGUUUAACUCGGAAACGGACAAAAUCUGAAAGCGCAAUUCAUGUUAUUUCAUACUGUUCAUCUAGUAGAAGGCUAAUUAUCGCAAAACAUCUGAAAUAUCAACCAGUGAUAUGGAUAACUCGAUAGGAAAACUUUUGUGUAAGAGAUCCAUGUAUGUACGUUAACAGAUCACAUCAUGUGCACUUACAUCGUCUACGUCAGCACAUGAAUUUAUUAGUAAAUGUAUACUUAAUAGAAUCAAUUAACUAGUACAUUAAUCGACAAUUUUACAAAGUCUACAUCAUGCGUAAUUCUAUGACUUUCGAUAGUCGUGAAGAUUAGGAACAAGCGAAGGAAUAUUGAGAGAAAUGAAUGCGUGAUAUUUUCAUUGCGUUGCACUUCAUUGAAUAUAAGAACCUUUUUUUUUCACGUAAAAUAUCAUAAAAACUUAGAAAGGACAAGUUAUCAUUUACAUAAUCUGGAUAUUUUAUUUUCUCGUUAGGUGACAGUUACAUCUUUUAAGUUUUAAUUAAAAGGACUGAAGUUAUAGUACUGGAACGAGAAACCAAGAAAAGAGCCAUAUAAAAAUGGGACAGUCAAAAGCGAUAUUCCUAUUUAUUGCUUUAUCAACAUUUCAAAUUAACUACGGACAAAAUUGUAAAAUUGACCGAAAAGAAAUCAAUGAUACAGUUGAAGGAAAACAGUUGACGCCCUUUUAUAAAACGUUUUUUUCUCUUGGACCACAAGCCUGUUUUAACGAGUGUAUCCGGAGAGCAGACUGUGCGUUUUUCAACUUCAAACGGGAGUCGCGUUUGUGUGAACUUUGUAACAAUACAAAGGGAUCAUCUGAACAAGAUGCCACGGGCUACUUCUAUAAGGAUGUAACAAGAGAGAGAGGCGGGCAAAACGAUCCAUGCGCAGGAACUUCCUGCUCCAACGGUGAAAUAUGUAUUGUUCUAUACAACAAGAGGACAGUUUGUAUAGUAGACGGUUGACAGUCGUCGGCAGAGAGGAUUCUUGUAAGAUUUGCUGGUACAGAACACCUAAGGGAGUUAACUCUUAAAAAUCAGCUGAACGUUUUAAUCACAUACUAUUAUUGAAGAGAAAUCAAUCUUCUCAUUGAUCAAAAUUAGUUUUUGUCAAACUGCUAUAUAUCCAAUGAAAUUAUUACUGUAAAUUGUGUGGUUUAAAUUUCUUGAAAUUUUUAUAUUUUUGUCAGCAGUCCAAAGCUAGUAUUUUGUCAAAAGUUAAAGAAAAUUAAACGAGCCAAAUUUAUCUUAGUCAAAGUGUUGGUACCUCCUUAAUACGAUAAACACGAUGAAAGGGCGACUGUACUUAUCUAUUUGAUUAUACAUUUUUUUUAAUGUAAGUGUAAUACUUUGUAAUAAUACCUUAUAACAUGGGAACUAUUAUAUUAAAAGUUUAGUAUGAAUAAAAUUGAAUAUAAAACA
This is a long non-coding RNA of Mytilus californianus (California mussel), 1460 nucleotides long. RefSeq lists it as uncharacterized. The record is from RefSeq and is a predicted model, not a curated record. The transcript has 3 exons. NCBI's taxonomy places the organism in Eukaryota, Metazoa, Mollusca, Bivalvia, Mytilida, Mytilidae.